GCCAGGCCAGCUACAAAGACAAAACCAACACCCAGGGCCCAGGAGAGAUGGAGUCUCCAGCCUUAACAGAAAUAAGAAAUUGGCACUCAUCAAGUCAGCCAGCAGGCCUAGGAGGGCUCCACACACUCAGCCUCUCCCAGCAUCUCAGUGACUGAAGGAGACAUUGUGCUGUAACCCAGAUGGGAGUGGCCGUUUUCAAGAGGAGCACUGCACCAUCUAGAGGAGUCGCCAUUUUAAAUUUCUCCUUUAGACCCUGUCUGAUUUUAUGUUAAAGAUUUUUUUGCAUCAUGGACAGUGCAUGUAGCACAUAUUUGCUGUGGCCUGGAGGAAGAGCAGGCAAGAGACUUGCAUGACCUCAGUCAUGUCAGUUUCCCCUUGGAGUCCAUUUCCUCAUCCAUAAAGUAAAGGUCUUGAGCCAAGCGACCAUCAAGGUCCAUUUUGGCUCUAAGAUUCUGUGAUGCUCUGCUUAUAGGAUGGCAGCACGGUGACCUGAAGGAGUUAAUUCAUCUUGCAGAAUAUUUCAAACCUUGCAUCAGCACAGGUGAGACACAGAAUAGAAGGAGAAUCACCCCCCACCCCCUUCCCAAGAAGACAAAGCUGCCCAUCAUUUGCCUUUAAUCUGUUUUCUUAAUUUUCUUCCUAAGGAAAGUCACAGUUCCAAUCAGCCCUCUAAUCAAUGGCUGCACUACUCCUGCACAAAUGAGCUAGAUUUAUUAAAGGAGUCCGCUCUUCGAUGGAAAUGGGCUCCCUGCUGGGGCUGCAAAUACAGGCUAAGAUUGACUGCUCCCAGAAUAGGCAAAGAUGUAAAGAAAAUGAGAGGAGGCAAGUGAUGGGGAAGAAGGCACCCAAGGCCUCUAUACGACCACCCCACCACCAUGACCAUGAAUGGAUGGUCACUGGUGACAACCUGGAUGUUUGCAUCUCAUUCAGUCUGAUCUUGGGCACAGUAACCAGUAGCGAUUCAUGAGUAAACAUCGUCUGUCACUUCUCUAAAUGCGCUAAGAAAAGAAGCUCACCGAAAAGAAGCUCACGGAGAACAUAGUAAAGGAGAGGCUCUUCCUGGGGAGAACCUCACAGAAACCAAGAGCUUAUAGGCUGUCAGAGUUGGAAAGAAACUUUGAUGAUGAUGGACAGCCACGAACUGAGGGGAUAUUCUGUGAAGGGACCCCAAUAUUUCUGACUCAUGGAUGGCCAGAAGCAGAAGAAAUUAAUAUUUCAAGACUGUAAGAAAUUAUUCAUAUUAGAUAAAAAUUAAAUAUUUGCAUAUCCAUAUUUGGGGGCUGAGAGCUCCUUGUUAAUAGGAAGUGGACACUUUGUUAUAUACAGAAGAAGCCGAUGGAGAAAAUUGGGACCAAAAAAACUUAAUCUGUCCCACAAAAUGUCAAGCUCUGCCUUCAUUGUGGUUUUGUUCAACAUGUCAGCCUGAGAGAGAGCAAUCUGGAAAAACAAACCAGUUACAAGAUGGUGAGAAGAAACAACGUAGCAAAGAUCCAGAGCAAAAUAGACAUGAAGAUGAUGAGGUUCAAGCAGGAAGGAUUUGUGGAAUGUGUAAACAGUCCUCAGACAAACCUCCCUUCCAAACCGUGGGACCCUGGAAGAAGGCUUGACUUUCUAUGGUUAGAUGGAAAAGGGGGUUGGAGCUGAUUCUGAAUAAUAAAGGGAAGGAUGGAGAACCUCUGAAGGCUGGAGAACUCAGGGUCAUCUGGAUUCUCUAAGGAACAAAAUGCAGAGGAAGACAUUAAGUGAUGUGCCCAGGGUCACACAGCUAGUUAGUGACAGAGACAAUUUCAGACAGAGACUUUGAGAUUCUUAAUCUUGAGUUCUAGACCCACAUAGACCCACCACAUCUCUCCCCACCUUGCAAAGCCCAGCCAAGCUUUUAAGUGACUGGCGCUUACUACCCAGAGAGGGAGAGCGGGAGAAAGAGGGCAGAGAGGAGAGGGUCGGGUGGGAGGCGGAGGAGGGGAUUCAUUCAGUGUUCAAGAGAAGUAUCCUUUCUAGACUUAUUCUGGUUGCUCACUUUUUUUGAGCUGGUUCUGCUUUUUGAGACUUGCAGCCUGUUGAGAGUUAAAAGAUGAGUUAAUCCGCUUGUUUUUACAGAUGAGAAAAGCUGCCCAGAGAGUGGAAGUGGCUUGCCUAAAAUUAUUAACAACUAAGAGUGAAAGUGUGUUUGGAAGAAGAGAACAAAAGCAGCAAAGACAAAGUGCGGAGGGAAAAGAAAGAAAAAGAAUUAUCCCAGUAAGGCUGCAGCUGGACUCCAGGGAGUAGGUUUGGGAUUAACCCUUGGAUGUCUUCCCUAACUAUGCCAGCUCCCUUACUCUUCCCUUCCUUGGGUCUUGAAAAUAACCAUGCUGUCCUGAUUUACCUCGUGUGAGUGUUGUUGUGGGAACUGGAUUCCAGGGCGUGCCCCAUACCACAUGCUUUUCUUCUAUCAAACACCUCACACAACUCGGAAUACGCAGUUCAUGCUCAAUAAACAUCUGCUUGUUGAUUAAUCUUUGAGAAAACCAGUAAACUU
Molecule: long non-coding RNA, 2518 nt
Organism: Equus caballus (horse)
Lineage: Eukaryota; Metazoa; Chordata; Mammalia; Perissodactyla; Equidae
Source: Ensembl